This 446-nucleotide ribosomal RNA is filed under the name uncultured bacterium. RNAcentral describes it as "partial 16S ribosomal RNA". It matches the Rfam family "Bacterial small subunit ribosomal RNA", at positions 338 to 795 of the family's 1533-position model. The record is from RNAcentral.
CCUACGGGUGGCUGCAGUCGAGAAUCAUUCACAAUGGGGGAAACCCUGAUGGUGCGACGCCGCGUGGGGGAAUGAAGGUCUUCGGAUUGUAAACCCCUUUCAUGUGGGAGCAAAUUAAAAAGAUAGUACCACAAGAGGAAGAGACGGCUAACUCUGUGCCAGCAGCCGCGGUAAUACAGAGGUCUCAAGCGUUGUUCGGAAUCACUGGGCGUAAAGCGUGCGUAGGCUGUUUCGUAAGUCGUGUGUGAAAGGCGCGGGCUCAACCCGCGGACGGCACAUGAUACUGCGAGACUAGAGUAAGGGAGGGGGAAGCGGAAUUCGCGGUGUAGCAGUGAAAUGCGUAGAUAUGGAGAGGAACACUCGUGGCGAAGGCGGGUUCCUGGACAUUAACUGACGCUGAGGCACGAAGGCCAGGGGAGCGAAAGGGAUUAGAUACCCCAGUAGUC